AGAGACACGAUUACGAAAGUUUCUGAGAGCAUUCAGCCCGGGUUGGAGGAAGAGAGUGCCAGGAUGGAGACAGGACAAUGGAGACACAAAAUGUGACCCAUUCCUGCCGCUGCAUCUGGGAGAUGACGGUGGAGAUGUCCCUGAAUUUACUUCCCAAAAACAUCACAGGAAGAAGCGGAGGAACCACAUGUUAGAUUUGCUAAAGCAGGAGGCAGCAGCUCGAGCCCGGUGUCUGAACUGGAACCAAAGCAGCCCACAGAGUGGCCUACCAAGGAGGCGGGCUUGAAGGUCUGAGUAACUGGAGCAGAAGCACUGUGGAACAUUCUACAACAUUCUCUCCAAUCUGUGGUGCUUCCCAGGGGACCACCAUCUCAACCCAGUCCACUCUGCCUUGAGAGCCCACAGAGCAAGCUUUUUCCCUUGGCUGACACCAUCCUCCCCAUGGC
Long non-coding RNA from Cervus elaphus (red deer), 446 nucleotides. RefSeq lists it as uncharacterized. The record is from RefSeq and is a predicted model, not a curated record. Lineage: Eukaryota; Metazoa; Chordata; Mammalia; Artiodactyla; Cervidae. The transcript has 3 exons.